RNAcentral lists this long non-coding RNA (2488 nucleotides) under Brassica napus (rape). RNAcentral describes it as "long non-coding RNA (BNAP_LNC004632)". The record is from RNAcentral. Lineage: Eukaryota; Viridiplantae; Streptophyta; Magnoliopsida; Brassicales; Brassicaceae.
CCAGCCCGAGGAUAGAUAUAUAUUCAAUGGAGAAACAUAGACAAUAGUUUGUAGAAAAGAAGCUAACAUACGUUAAGGUGAAUAACUACUUGCCUAAGAAAUUAAAAUCCAUCAUGAAUACCAUAACUCAGAAGGAGACAGCCAAGGAACUGUGGAAUUCGUUGAAACCUCCUAGUAUCAGGGAAAAUGAACGUGUAAAAUGAGAACAAUUUCAACGUUUAAAAAGGGAUCUCGGUGAAGGAAACAAAGAGCAUCACAAGGUACUUCUCAACAGUGUCGCUUGCUCAACCGGUAUGAGAACUGUUGGAGAAGAAAUGCACGAUUCACUUAUUUUGGUGAAGAUUCUAAGACACUCUCAGAAAAGUGUACAUACAUCAUAUGUUCGACUGAAUUUUUCAAAAACAUACGGUUUUAGAUGAUGCUCUCCAAAUGUGGUACAGCCUUGAUUAUUUUUUCCUGGAUCAUUUGAAAAAGGUGGAUGAAGAUUGUCCUGGAGUCUACUUGCACUUUUUGUGUGGACGAUGUACUUCACCUUCAGUUUGAUCCCGGAAAACCUAAAAUAUAUUAACAAAGUAUUUUAUAUGCAUGGGGGAAUUCAUUAAAAAUUUAAAGAAAAUACAUUGAAAUUUUAAAAGUCAUGGUGGACAUGGGGGUAUACUGUUGUGGAUUUUAGGCUUUUCUCAGAUUGUGUUGCUACUCUUAUGGCACAUGUACACCUUACUUAACGGCAACGAUUAUUCACGUGGAGAUUCCUUUUCUUAGGUUAAAAGAUUAAUGUUGUGCCGAAAAGAGAAAACAAUGGACAAGGACAGGUUAUUCUCAAAGCUUAUUAGUUUAUUAUCUCCAAAACUCAGGAUAAUACACGUUUUUAAAGAAGAAAAAAAUCGACUAUCUAGUCUAAGAAAACCCUAAUUCUAAACCAGAUUGAUUGGGAUGUUCUUAGUCCUAAUUUGAAUUGGUUAAAUUCCUAUAAAUAAUUACACUCGGUUUACAUUAAGACACAUUUAAAGUUAUCAACCAUAAGAGCAAGUGCAACAAUGAUCCUUAGUUGGAGUCCUUAAAAAACAAAUUAUUAUAAAAUUAUAUGGGACCCAUGAUUUUUAGGUUUCUGUGCAAGUUGGUGCCCUUAGAGCAUGAUUAUCCAUAGAAACCCAUUUGUGUUUCUUAAGGAUUAUUUAAGUAUAUAAAUGUACUUUAGUGGACUUAAGAACUUUACUUAAGAAACUAUUCAAUUUUGUGCCUCCAAUGGUAGUUUCUUAAUUAAAGAUCCUUAAAAAAAAAUCCUAAUCACAACCUAACUCAAACAAACAUAUUCAAACCAAGCAAACAAUCCUAUCCUAACAUUUUGACAUGAAUAUAACAUAUUUAUUACCAAGCAAACAAUCCUAACCACAACCUAACUUAAACGUGUUUUCCCUAACCACAAACUAACUCAAACAAACAAGUUUUGGUCGAUUACCUCAACUCUCAAACUUGGUUUAGUCACUGUUGGAGAUCAUAGUCUGCUACCACGCCUUCCCUGCUGUCUUGAUUGCCAAAGCCUCCUCCUCUCAGAUUAACAUGUUCAAACAACAGUUAAAAAUAAACACUUUACACAAACCACACUCAAGAAGAACUCUAACAUAUUCAUUCUAAUUUUGUGACUAUAUACCAAAAAGACAACAUUUGAGAUCACUUCAAAAGGAUGCAACUUGCUUGCAAAUUCAGAAAACGCAUGCUUCCAAGUCUCAAAAUGCAAUACCUUUUUAGUCUUUGGCUAUGGCUUUGCCGUGUUUAAAGUCCUGAACCGAUCUCUACUGUUCGGAAUAAGAGCUAGAGCCAGCUGAUUCUCCUAGACCAGAGACGAAGCAAUAGAUUAGAAUACAGUUAAGAAAGCCAUGUAAGAAGUUAUCAGUCAUCAAAGUACCUGCAUUAUCCUCUAAAGGCCAUAUGUGCUUGGUCAGAUGUUUAUUCAUUUGAAACAUGUUGAUGGACUCUAGAGGGAACAGAGAUCGCAAUGAUUCUUGCUAAAUGCCGAAAACUAUCACUGGCAAUGGACAUCGUUCUUCUCAGUUGCUUCGACUGCGGUUUAUGUCUACUUAUACUCGAUCUAUUACUAUUACUAUUACGUAAAGACAAAGAUGUUUGGGUUUUUCCAGAAAAUCCAAUAUCUAAAUUGAUUAAAGUAGAAUCUGCUCUCUAGCCCAGAAAAUCCAAUAUCUAAAUUGAUUGAAAAAACGAACCACGAGCCAAACUCAAUCGGCUUCACCACACUAAAGCCCACCAUUGGAGAGAACGAGCUUUCUCGAUCUGAAACUCAGCCACGACGGAGAUGACGACCGGAGUUGCAGAGGGCGAGUCCGGUGCUACUGGCUUGAAAACGAACUCAAUCACCACCACGAGCCAAGCCUGAGUCGACAAGGAUGAAGAAGACCCAAGGCAGAGGUGAGACGCGACGGCGUGGAGGAGACGGAGAAACAAAGCAAAGAAAGAAAAGAAAAUUAAAAAA